This 536-nucleotide ribosomal RNA is filed under the name uncultured kinetoplastid. RNAcentral's name for it is "bacterial SSU rRNA". It matches the Rfam family "Eukaryotic small subunit ribosomal RNA", at positions 615 to 1026 of the family's 1831-position model. The record is from RNAcentral. Lineage: Eukaryota; Euglenozoa; Kinetoplastea.
GCUGUUAAGGGUUCGUAGUUGAAUUGGGAGCUGCCGAGUAAACAAUGGCGUCUUGCCUUCGGGGGACUCACCAUUGUUCUCGCAGCUCGAGAACAUUCGAAACAAACACCACGGAAUCGUUUCUUCCCGAAUCACGCAUGCAAUGUAUGCAGGGGGACGUCCGUGAUAUUUACUGUGCAAAAGAAGGGUGACCAAAGCAGUCAUUCGACAUGAAUUAGAAAGCAUGGGAUAACAAAGGGCGGCCUACGGGCUUCCAUUUUGGCUUUUGUUGGUUUUAAAGGUCUGUGGGAGAUUAUGGGUGUGUGGACCGGCUGCACGGGAUUCGUUCCCGACAGUCUUCUAGGUUGGCUUCGGUCGUUUAGACUCGCGCCACCCAGGAAUGAAGGAGGGUUGUUCGGGGGAGAACGUACUUGGCGUGAGAGGUGAGAUUCAUAGACCGCUCAAAGACGAACUACAGCGAAGGCAUUCUCCAGGAUACCUUCCUCAAUCAAGAACCAAAGUGUGGAGAUCGAAGAUGAUUAGAUACCAUUGUGUCC